GGUAGUCCACGCCGUAAACGAUGUCGACUUGGAGGUUGUGCCCUUGAGGCGUGGCUUCCGGAGCUAACGCGUUAAGUCGACCGCCUGGGGAGUACGGCCGCAAGGUUAAAACUCAAAUGAAUUGACGGGGGCCCGCACAAGCGGUGGAGCAUGUGGUUUAAUUCGAUGCAACGCGAAGAACCUUACCUACUCUUGACAUCCAGAGAACUUAGCAGAGACGCUUUGGUGCCUUCGGGAACUCUGAGACAGGUGCUGCAUGGCUGUCGUCAGCUCGUGUUGUGAAAUGUUGGGUUAAGUCCCGCAACGAGCGCAACCCUUAUCCUUUGUUGCCAGCGGUUCGGCCGGGAACUCAAAGGAGACUGCCAGUGAUAAACUGGAGGAAGGUGGGGAUGACGUCAAGUCAUCAUGGCCCUUACGAGUAGGGCUACACACGUGCUACAAUGGCGCAUACAAAGAGAAGCGACCUCGCGAGAGCAAGCGGACCUCAUAAAGUGCGUCGUAGUCCGGAUUGGAGUCUGCAACUCGACUCCAUGAAGUCGGAAUCGCUAGUAAUCGUAGAUCAGAAUGCUACGGUGAAUACGUUCCCGGGCCUUGUACACACCGCCCGUCACACCAUGGGAGUGGGUUGCAAAAGAAGUAGGUAGCUUAACCUUCGGGAGGGCGCUUACCACUUUGUGAUUCAUGACUGGGGUGAAGUCGUAACAAGGUAACCGUAGGGGAACCUGC
RNAcentral lists this ribosomal RNA (726 nucleotides) under uncultured bacterium. RNAcentral's name for it is "bacterial SSU rRNA". It matches the Rfam family "Bacterial small subunit ribosomal RNA", at positions 789 to 1515 of the family's 1533-position model. The record is from RNAcentral.